This 252-nucleotide ribosomal RNA is filed under the name uncultured bacterium. RNAcentral describes it as "partial 16S ribosomal RNA". It matches the Rfam family "Bacterial small subunit ribosomal RNA", at positions 524 to 776 of the family's 1533-position model. The record is from RNAcentral.
UACGUAGGUCCCGAGCGUUGUCCGGAUUUAUUGGGCGUAAAGCGAGCGCAGGUGGUUUAUUAAGUCUGGUGUAAAAGGCAGUGGCUCAACCAUUGUAUGCAUUGGAAACUGGUAGACUUGAGUGCAGGAGAGGAGAGUGGAAUUCCAUGUGUAGCGGUGAAAUGCGUAGAUAUAUGGAGGAACAUCAGUGGCGAAGGCGGCCACCUGGACCGGUAUUGACGCUGAGGCGCGAAAGCGUGGGGAGCAAACAGG